GCCUGCACCGCUGCCUGCCUCCCUGCCUGCCUCCCUGCCCCCUGCCUGCACUCCUGCCUGCCUCCUUGCCAGCCUGCCUGCGCCCCUGCCUGCCUGCGCCCCUGCCUGCCUGCGCCCCUGCCUGCCUGCGCCCCUGCCUGCAUGCUGUGCAGUUCUCCAGCGCCGCCGGCAUGGUGUGGGCUGUGGUGGCUGCAGGAUACCCUCCUCCUGCUCCUCCUGCUCCUCCUGCUCCUCCUCCUGUUACCCGGCUGGAGGGAGGGUGGCAGCCCCCCAGCGAAGGUGCUGCCCAGCAGCAUCCUGGGGCUCCUGGGGGGGCCAGGGCCGGCUGCGGGUCAGGAGCUGUGGCUGGCCGUGGCCGUGGCCGUGGCCGUGCUGGGAUGGCAGCAAGGAAGCGUUGCCCACAGGGGUCUUCAUGGCAUCGGCCCCAUCGCUCCCUCCACGUGCUGGGGUCCGGCCAGUGCUGCCAACACGUGGGUGCACGCAGAGCCUCAGCACCCAUCACCCUGCGCCGGCCAUGCCGUGUUCUAGUGUGCCGCGGUGACAGAGGGACAGACCAGGGUGGAAAAAAUGAGUGGAAAAAGGCAAAAAGACAUGGUCCAUCUUGUUUCCAGUAGGUUUAGAUGUUGAAGGAUCCAUUGGAGAGAAACAUCUUCCUUUGUGCUCAUGCGAUGCCGGGGGCCUUACACAUUGUGUGUAGUACCGUGGUGCCCCGGCUUAACCACAGCUCUUAGUCACCUUAUGUAACAUUAGCAAUUUCUUCAUCUCUCUUUCUUUUUUUUUCAUUUUUUCGUUUUGUUUUUUUUUCCCCUCGCAGGCAGAUCAGAUGAAGCAAGUUUAUCCCCAGUCUGAAAUGGAAUGUUUUCUGAAGCGGGCAGCACGGCCCUUGCGGGCUCAUGGGGUUUUCCUGUGGGAAGAGCCAGUGGAGCCGAUGCGGUGACAUCCCCCCAGGAUGGGGAUGCUGUCCAGAUCAGAAGCGCAGCUGUACGCUGGGGUGUGGUAGGUGGGGACCCCCUUCUGUACAUAGGGACCCUAAGCCCCUAAGGAAAAGAUCGACCUUCCUAAAGCAGUGCUUUACAUUAAAUAUAUGUUUCAUUAUAGGAACACUGGAGGAAUAAAAAACAUGUAAGUGCUAAGAAAUAUGCGCUCUAAAAACCUUACGGCUAAACAAGUGCCAAGGAUGUUUGUUCACACACCAGCGGAACACUGAUGGCAAAGGGAUAAAAUCCAGUGAAAAGGCUGCGCGGAGAGUGUGUCCGGGAUCAUGAGCAGCGCUACCGCUCCCAGUGCCCUUUUCCCUUGGGCUGGAAAAUGUGUCUUGCUGCUGACUUUCACACCAUGUCCUCGUGCUGCCCCGUCUGCCAGCCGGCCCCGUGCGGCUGAGCUCGCACUGGGCUGGCGUCGCUCGGGGAUUUUGCCAUUUGUAGCUGUAAGGAGUCUUAAGGAGGUUGUAACCCUCAAUUAGGGAUCUGUGUAACUUUCUAAUGAUGGGAGUGAUUGCGGGGUGAGGGAAAUGUGCUGCUGUACGUGGUCCUUCCUGCCAAACUUGCUGCCAGAGCAGAUCCUUAUAGCCCAGCAAUAAAUCCCCCAAAUGAAAGGUUUACGAUGGAAAUUCUGACAAACCCUUAACUAACACAUUACAAAUGGCAGCUUUAAAAUUCAGUAGCUAUAAGCUAAAUUAGCAGGAGUGGGGGCAGCCUUCGAGGAUUGCUGUAGCGAGCCAGCCGUGGCCCGGAGGCCUUGCCUUGAUAAAGAUGUGCAGCAACGCUAUAGCUUUUAAUUGGCUUUUAAUGUUUGUAACAAACUUUUGUUGGUCUAAUUUGCAGGUGCAAAAUGAGGGAUGCUCCUUUGGUUUUCCACAAAGUUUUUGACCAUCCCUCGGGAAGGAUUCACCCUCCUCCUGCCCAGUAACAGGCUCAGAUGCCCAUCUCUGCUGCUCAAAUCGCCUCCUCCUCCGGUCAGCGGUGCUUCCAAGCUGUGGAAAAGGACGUUUCUCUUCCAAUGGCUUGUUAAAUACAUUUUUUAAACACUA
Molecule: long non-coding RNA, 2029 nt
Organism: Falco peregrinus (peregrine falcon)
Lineage: Eukaryota; Metazoa; Chordata; Aves; Falconiformes; Falconidae
Exons: 2
Source: RefSeq, a predicted model, not a curated record